AGCUGAGAGGAGGUGCAUGGCCGUCGUCAGUUCGUACUGUGAAGCAUCCUGUUAAGUCAGGCAACGAGCGAGACCACGCCAACAGUUGCCAGCAUGAUCUCCGGAUUGAUGGGGACACUGUUGGGACCGCCUCUGCUAAAGGGGAGGAAGGAAUGGGCAACGGUAGGUCAGCAUGCCCCGAAUUAUCCGGGCUACACGCGGGCUACAAUGGAUGGGACAAUGGGUUUCGACACCGAAAGGUGAAGGUAAUCUCCUAACCCCACCCGUAGUUCGGAUUGCGGGCUGCAACUCGCCCGCAUGAAGCUGGAAUCCGUAGUAAUCGCGUCUCACGAUGGCGCGGUGAAUAUGUCCCUGCUCCUU
Molecule: ribosomal RNA, 360 nt
Filed under: uncultured Methanocalculus sp.
Lineage: Archaea; Methanobacteriati; Methanobacteriota; Methanomicrobia; Methanomicrobiales; Methanocalculaceae
Description: bacterial SSU rRNA
Rfam family: Archaeal small subunit ribosomal RNA
Source: RNAcentral